GCAGUGGCGGUUCAGUGGUAGAGUUCUCACCUUCCAUGAGGGAGACCCAGGUUCGAUUCCUGGCCAAAGCA
This 71-nucleotide transfer RNA is filed under the name Loxodonta africana (African savanna elephant). It matches the Rfam family "tRNA". From Rfam's summary of the family: Transfer RNA (tRNA) molecules are approximately 80 nucleotides in length. Their secondary structure includes four short double-helical elements and three loops (D, anti-codon, and T loops). Lineage: Eukaryota; Metazoa; Chordata; Mammalia; Proboscidea; Elephantidae. The record is from Rfam by way of RNAcentral.